UCACUGAACCAGGUUUGCGAGACAGGCUGAUGACCCAACAGAAGUAAGAUUACAAGCAUGUGCCACUGCAUUCAGCUUUUCUGUGGACGCUGGGGGUUAAACCCAGGACUUCAUGUUUGUGUGCCAAGCACUUUCCUGACCAAUCCGUCUCCCCAGCCCCCAAACUGUUUUUCAUCGGUCCUCCUUUUUGUUUCCACGGUGUGCUUGAGGGACACCUUUCUCCUUUUGUCGCUUUUGUGCUGUCAUCAUGAAACACAAAUCUGGACUUGUCACUGGCCUGCCUCAGACCUGUCCACGUUCCUCCAAGGCUGACAAGUCAGGUUCACCAUUUCCGGUUUUAAAUUGGGGUCUUCGAUCCACUUCAAGUUGAUUUUUAUACAAGGUGAACGGCUAAUACUGACUCUGUGGAAUGAAUUUGGUAGUGUUUCAUCCCUUCCGAUUUUGUGGGAGAAAUUAAGAAGGAUCAACAUUAGAUUUUCCUUGAAUGUUUGAGAGAAUUUAUCAGUGAGUCCUGCUGGUCUCAGGCUUCUAUUUGUGAGUAGACUUUUGAUUACAGCUUUUAUCUCAUUGUUUGUAAUGAUUUGUUAUUUAUAUCUUCUAGAUUUAAUUGUAGUAGCUCAUAUGCAUUUAGAAAGCAUCCAGUUCCCCUGAAUUUUCCAGCUUUUUAGAGAACCUGGAAAACAUACAGUCUCUGCUUCUUGACUAAGGACUGCAAUGUGACCUCAUGUUCUUGUCAUCAAUGGUCCCAAUCACGAUGGACUGCACCCUCAAACUGUGAAGAAAAACAAACCUUCUUUUCUUAAGUUGUCUUUGUCAGGUAUGUUGACAUGUCAAAGACAAAGUGACUGAUACAGUAUGGCAUGCUUGUUUUCUCCAUAGUUGAUUAUGAGAACUCGUGAAUGAAGAGGGAGCGUACAGUGGCCUUGGGGUGUCCUGUUGUUCCAGACUGGAAUGAUCCCGAAUCCUUUGCCACUUAUCCAAGGCAUGUCUUACCAUUCAUCAUCAUCAUCUAUGACUCCCUGUUCAUGGUGUGCAGCCUGUGACCACUUCGGCAAGAAAUUGGGCAAGCCAGAAGCAUUUAUGGAAACACCUCCGGGGAUUCUUGCUUGCUAGUUGGGAAAUUUUGUGUGGCCUUAGAGUCCUCUGUACUCUCUGCCCCAAAAGUUCAGGCUUUUUGGGGCCAGUGUCCCAUUCUUGUCCUGGCACUGAGGAAUUUGGGGACUUAUGUGAGGCCUGAAUGUGAGGAGGUGGUAUCUAUACACAUAGGCCGGUUCAUACUCAAUCCUUGUAUUAAUUACUUUUCUUGUUUCUAUGAUAACGUACCUGACACAGAAACUUAAGGAAGACAUGUUUCAUUGUGGCUACCAUUUGAGGGUACAGUCCAUCAUAGCAGGGAAGCCAUGGCAGAGGUUCAGCUUUCUUCUUCCUCUUCAUUCAGUGAAGGUUUCCAGUCCAUAAAAACAGGACUGCCCACCUUUAGUGAGGGUCUUCUGAUCUCAGUUAAUACGAUAUAGAAACUCCCUCAUACACAUGCCCAGAGAUGUGUCUCCUUGCUGUUCUCAGUCCUGUUGUUGGUUAAUAGUAAUCAUCACAGAUGCACAAGGCUGUCCUCUGGAUGUGGGCCAGCAGACCCAACUAACGGGCUCUUGCCAUUGUUAGAGGCCUGGACAUGGAGUGCUUAGCACCCGCCUCCCUGGUGGGGCUGUAUUUUAUCCCUUCUCUUGCACUUGUUCAUAUCAGGUGGAUUAGGGAGCUCAGAAAAUGGUUCUCUCUGCUUUCGUAAGAUAGGGCAGAGUUAUAUGCUUGCACAUAAUCUCUUUUCUGAGAAUAUUGUUCAAAAAA
Molecule: non-coding RNA, 1842 nt
Organism: Peromyscus maniculatus bairdii (prairie deer mouse)
Lineage: Eukaryota; Metazoa; Chordata; Mammalia; Rodentia; Cricetidae
Source: RefSeq, a predicted model, not a curated record